Molecule: long non-coding RNA, 1822 nt
Organism: Seriola aureovittata
Lineage: Eukaryota; Metazoa; Chordata; Actinopteri; Carangiformes; Carangidae
Exons: 4
Source: RefSeq, a predicted model, not a curated record
GGAGGAGGCUAUCCAGGAUACACGGGGGCUGGGCAAAAAUCCAAGGCACAGAAGGCAGCCAAAUAUGCAGCCAUGCAGGCCUUACUGGGAGCUGGGGGCUACAGAGGUGCUGGCUGUCAGGGCAAAUACUGUGGCCGAAGGAGGAAGUGAGAGACCAACAGACAGGAAGUGACCUCAUUAAAACAAGUGGUGCUACUGCAUGAUUCCAGAUUGUAAAUGUCUAAACUGCCAUAGAAGCUAAAGCUUCAACACAUUCCACGUUACUUUUACUUUUGCUUAGAUUUUUUAUACGAGGGUCUCUUUCAAAAAGAGCAGUGGUUCUCAACCUGUUAGAGACGUGAUUCCUUAAGACAAGGUGAUGCUUCUGCUGCAGGUGAAAUGUGUACUUGUCAUUUUCUUUGUUGGAUAAAUCAGUGAUGGUCAAAGAAUUAAAAAUACACAUCAUUUCACACGAAGAAGCACAAGUUAAAGCAGGGGAAACAUUUGUUAUAAUAGUCAUUUUUUUCCAUUGAAUCACCUUGUGACUCUCUGGUGAUCCUGACCACCAGGCUGAGAACCACUGAAAUAAAAGAUUUCUUUUCAAUUAUAUGACCAAGCAGUCUUAUAAUACAGUUUUUGCUUAUUGUUGUUGUGUUGAACAUCAUUUGUGUUCCUGUGUAAGUAUCACCAUAAAUCCUCUGUGUGAAGACCAAGGACUCCCUCAGGGCAGCUCCUUCAGACCUGUCUGCAUGCUGACACAAGGUUUUUUUUGUUUUUUUUGUUUUGUUUUUUAAAUAUUCUCCAAGGCCACAUUUUUAUCCAGUUAGACUGGAUUUUCUUUAGCUCAUAGAGUGUAAUGUUUGUUGCAUUAAUUCACUGUUUUUCGCUUUUACACCAAAGUGCAAACUCUUGGCUCUAGUCUGUCCAGCAAUGUGUACAGAGAGAAACAGACGGCUGCUAUUUUGGGGAACUGUGAACAAAAGGGAUUCUUAGUGGAAUUUUUCAUGGUGGUGGUUUGAGCAGCCAUUAUCUGAAUCCCUGAAAAGCAGUCUGUGUUCAUUUUAGCUCUGCUCAGGCCUCCGCAGUAUCAACAAAUGUGGAGGCUGAAGGUCCUCGGCUGUUAACACUUGUGAAAUCUUCCUCUCCAUUCACAACACUUAAGGCACUGUUGUAUAGCUACAUAACACUAAUUGGUAUUCAUGUAAAAUUUUGAUUAACAUGCAUAUUUUUUUCACUAUUAGAAUGAUGUAUUUGUUAUGAUAUUCUGAUGUGGCUUAGAUUUGACUUUUACAUUUGCUGUUACGGAAAGCAUUAAAACUACAUGUGAGGUAAUAUGAGCUGAAUACACGAUGCAUUUAAAUGACAUCUGAGGAGCGUUGAUUACUGUGUUUUUCUUUUUUUGAUUUACCUCCUUUUAACACUGUUGGACAACUGUUCACGUUUACUAGUCGUUUUAAAUUAUGCAGAGAAAAGGCAGAAAAGGCUGAGUUCUUUAUUUAGUCUCAUUUUACGAAUUCAAGUGAAUUAAUAUAGUAUUGAAUAUUUGAGUUAUUUCAUUUGUGUGUGUGUGUGUGUGAGUUAUGUAUUACUAUGGUAAAUAUAAGUGCUUUGUUUUCUACAUUGUCCUUGAAUGUGUGCUGAAUCACACUGUAGUCUGUGAUAUCAUUAGGAUAGAAAAAGUGUAACUGAAUCUCAUCUUGCAGUUGAGCUCACAUUUGUGUCUCUAUCGUUUAGCUCAACAUGUGUUUUUAACAGCUGUGGUUUUUAUGUGGCCUAUGAAGAAAACUGUGCACUAAUGUACACUUUCUGACAAUGCUCUCUAAAAUAAAGAAAUGACCAAUGA